RNAcentral lists this ribosomal RNA (736 nucleotides) under Kocuria rosea. RNAcentral describes it as "bacterial SSU rRNA". It matches the Rfam family "Bacterial small subunit ribosomal RNA", at positions 89 to 841 of the family's 1533-position model. The record is from RNAcentral. Lineage: Bacteria; Bacillati; Actinomycetota; Actinomycetes; Micrococcales; Micrococcaceae.
GGAUUAGUGGCGAACGGGUGAGUAAUACGUGAGUAACCUGCCCUUGACUCUGGGAUAAGCCUGGGAAACUGGGUCUAAUACUGGAUACUACCUCUUACCGCAUGGUGGGUGGUGGAAAGGGUUUUACUGGUUUUGGAUGGGCUCACGGCCUAUCAGCUUGUUGGUGGGGUAAUGGCUCACCAAGGCGACGACGGGUAGCCGGCCUGAGAGGGUGACCGGCCACACUGGGACUGAGACACGGCCCAGACUCCUACGGGAGGCAGCAGUGGGGAAUAUUGCACAAUGGGCGGAAGCCUGAUGCAGCGACGCCGCGUGAGGGAUGACGGCCUUCGGGUUGUAAACCUCUUUCAGUAGGGAAGAAGCGAGAGUGACGGUACCUGCAGAAGAAGCGCCGGCUAACUACGUGCCAGCAGCCGCGGUAAUACGUAGGGCGCAAGCGUUGUCCGGAAUUAUUGGGCGUAAAGAGCUCGUAGGCGGUUUGUCGCGUCUGCUGUGAAAGCCCGGGGCUCAACCCCGGGUCUGCAGUGGGUACGGGCAGACUAGAGUGCAGUAGGGGAGACUGGAAUUCCUGGUGUAGCGGUGAAAUGCGCAGAUAUCAGGAGGAACACCGAUGGCGAAGGCAGGUCUCUGGGCUGUUACUGACGCUGAGGAGCGAAAGCAUGGGGAGCGAACAGGAUUAGAUACCCUGGUAGUCCAUGCCGUAAACGUUGGGCACUAGGUGUGGGGGACAUUCCAC